GCGCGCUUGUAGCUCAGCUGGAUAGAGCGACCGCCUCCUAAGCGGUAGGUCCCCGGUUCGAAUCCGGGCUCGCGCACCA
RNAcentral lists this transfer RNA (79 nucleotides) under Pseudomonas sp. Its description in RNAcentral is "tRNA-Arg". It matches the Rfam family "tRNA". Rfam says of the family: Transfer RNA (tRNA) molecules are approximately 80 nucleotides in length. Their secondary structure includes four short double-helical elements and three loops (D, anti-codon, and T loops). The record is from RNAcentral. RNAcentral also lists the same sequence under 1 other name. Lineage: Bacteria; Pseudomonadati; Pseudomonadota; Gammaproteobacteria; Pseudomonadales; Pseudomonadaceae.